GAGCCUGUAGCUCAGUCGGUAGAGCAUUUGACUUUUAAUCAGAGGGUCCCGGGUUCGAACCCCGGCGGGCUCACCA
This 76-nucleotide transfer RNA is filed under the name Rickettsiaceae bacterium. RNAcentral describes it as "tRNA-Lys". It matches the Rfam family "tRNA". From Rfam's summary of the family: Transfer RNA (tRNA) molecules are approximately 80 nucleotides in length. Lineage: Bacteria; Pseudomonadati; Pseudomonadota; Alphaproteobacteria; Rickettsiales; Rickettsiaceae. The record is from RNAcentral.